This 440-nucleotide ribosomal RNA is filed under the name uncultured bacterium. Its description in RNAcentral is "partial 16S ribosomal RNA". It matches the Rfam family "Bacterial small subunit ribosomal RNA", at positions 338 to 795 of the family's 1533-position model. The record is from RNAcentral.
CCUACGGGUCGCUGCAGUGGGGGAUAUUGCACAAUGGGGGGAACCCUGAUGCAGCGACGCCGCGUGGGUGAAGAAGCGCCUCGGCGCGUAAAGCCCUGUCAGCAGGGAAGAAAAUGACGGUACCUGAAGAAGAAGCCCCGGCUAACUACGUGCUAGCAGCCGCGGUAAUACGUAGGGGGCAAGCGUUAUCCGGAUUUACUGGGUGUAAAGGGGGCGCAGACGGCGAUGCAAGCCAGGAGUGAAAGCCCGGGGCUCAACCCCGGGACUGCUGUUGGAAAUGCGUGGCUGGAGUGCAGGAGGGGCAGGCGGAAUUCCUGGUGUAGCGGUGAAAUGCGUAGAUAUCAGGAGGAACACCGGUGGCGAAGGCGGCCUGCUGGACUGCAACUGACGUUGAGGCCCGAAAGCGUGGGGAGCAAACAGGAUUAGAUACCCGAGUAGUC